Molecule: ribosomal RNA, 522 nt
Filed under: uncultured bacterium
Lineage: Bacteria
Description: bacterial SSU rRNA
Rfam family: Bacterial small subunit ribosomal RNA
Source: RNAcentral
AUUGAACGCUGGCGGCAGGCCUAACACAUGCAAGUCGAGCGGAUGAGUGGAGCUUGCUCCAUGAUUCAGCGGCGGACGGGUGAGUAAUGCCUAGGAAUCUGCCUGGUAGUGGGGGACAACGUUUCGAAAGGAACGCUAAUACCGCAUACGUCCUACGGGAGAAAGUGGGGGAUCUUCGGACCUCACGCUAUCAGAUGAGCCUAGGUCGGAUUAGCUAGUUGGCGAGGUAAAGGCUCACCAAGGCGACGAUCCGUAACUGGUCUGAGAGGAUGAUCAGUCACACUGGAACUGAGACACGGUCCAGACUCCUACGGGAGGCAGCAGUGGGGAAUAUUGGACAAUGGGCGAAAGCCUGAUCCAGCCAUGCCGCGUGUGUGAAGAAGGUCUUCGGAUUGUAAAGCACUUUAAGUUGGGAGGAAGGGCAGUAAGUUAAUACCUURCUGUUUUGACGUUACCGACAGAAUAAGCACCGGCUAACUUCGUGCCAGCAGCCGCGGUAAUACGAAGGGUGCAAGCGUUAAU